CAACGCCGCGUGAGGGAUGAAGGCCUCUGGGCUGUAAACCUCUUUUAUCAAGGAAGAAGAACUGACGGUACUUGAUGAAUAAGCCACGGCUAAUUCCGUGCCAGCAGCCGCGGUAAUACGGGAGUGGCAAGCGUUAUCCGGAAUUAUUGGGCGUAAAACGUCCGCAGGCGGUUUUACAAGUCUGUCGUUAAAGCGUGGAGCUCAACUCCAUUUCAGCGAUGGAAACUGUAAGACUCGAGUGUGGUAGGGGCAGAGGGAAUUCCCGGUGUAGCGGUGAAAUGCGUAGAUAU
This 290-nucleotide ribosomal RNA is filed under the name uncultured bacterium. Its description in RNAcentral is "partial 16S ribosomal RNA". It matches the Rfam family "Bacterial small subunit ribosomal RNA", at positions 392 to 697 of the family's 1533-position model. The record is from RNAcentral.